Molecule: ribosomal RNA, 485 nt
Filed under: uncultured bacterium
Lineage: Bacteria
Description: partial 16S ribosomal RNA
Rfam family: Bacterial small subunit ribosomal RNA
Source: RNAcentral
AUUGAACGCUGGCGGCAGGCUUAACACAUACAAGUCGAGCGGGGGAAGGUAGCUUGCUACCGGACCUAGCGGCGGACGGGUGAGUAAUGCUUAGGAAUCUGCCUAUUAGUGGGGGACAACAUCUCGAAAGGGAUGCUAAUACCGCAUACGUCCUACGGGAGAAAGCAGGGGAUCUUCGGACCUUGCGCUAAUAGAUGAGCCUAAGUCGGAUUAGCUAGUUGGUGGGGUAAAGGCCUACCAAGGCGACGAUCUGUAGCGGGUCUGAGAGGAUGAUCCGCCACACUGGGACUGAGACACGGCCCAGACUCCUACGGGAGGCAGCAGUGGGGAAUAUUGGACAAUGGGGGGAACCCUGAUCCAGCCAUGCCGCGUGGGUGAAGAAGGCCUUAUGGUUGUAAAGCACUUUAAGCGAGGAGGAGGCUACUUUAGUUAAUACCUAGAGAUAGUGGACGUUACUCGCAGAAUAAGCACCGGCUAACUCUGUG